This 335-nucleotide RNase P RNA is filed under the name Lachnospiraceae bacterium oral taxon 500. Its description in RNAcentral is "RNase P RNA component class A". It matches the Rfam family "Bacterial RNase P class A". Rfam says of the family: Ribonuclease P (RNase P) is a ubiquitous endoribonuclease, found in archaea, bacteria and eukarya as well as chloroplasts and mitochondria. Its best characterised activity is the generation of mature 5'-ends of tRNAs by cleaving the 5'-leader elements of precursor-tRNAs. The record is from RNAcentral. Lineage: Bacteria; Bacillati; Bacillota; Clostridia; Lachnospirales; Lachnospiraceae.
UGAGUAGGCAAAACGAUCGCACCGUUUUUCGGUGAGGAAAGUCCGAGCUCCACAGGGCAAGAGUGCCGGAUAACGUCCGGUGGAGGUGACUCCAAGGAUAGUGCAACAGAAAUAAACCGCCUUACACAAAGUAAGGUAAGGGUGGAAAGGUAGGGUAAGAGCUUACCGCCUCUCUGGUAACAGCGAGGGCAUAUGUAAACCCCACUCGGAGCAAGACCAAAGCAAACCGUAAGCUGCCCGCGAGGUUUAGGUAGGUCGCUAGAUUUUACCGGCAACGGUAAAGCCAGAUAGAUGAUCGUUCACGACAGAACUCGGCUUAUCUGCCUGCUCAUAUU